RNAcentral lists this ribosomal RNA (460 nucleotides) under uncultured bacterium. RNAcentral describes it as "partial 16S ribosomal RNA". It matches the Rfam family "Bacterial small subunit ribosomal RNA", at positions 338 to 795 of the family's 1533-position model. The record is from RNAcentral.
CCUACGGGUGGCAGCAGUGAGGAAUAUUGGUCAAUGGGCGGGAGUCUGAACCAGCCAAGUAGCGUGAAGGAUGACUGCCCUACGGGUUGUAAACUUCUUUUAUAUGGGAAUAAAACGUUCCACGUGUGGGAUUUUGUAUGUACCAUAUGAAUAAGGAUCGGCUAACUCCGUGCCAGCAGCCGCGGUAAUACGGAGGAUCCGAGCGUUAUCCGGAUUUAUUGGGUUUAAAGGGAGCGUAGGUGGAUUGUUAAGUCAGUUGUGAAAGUUUGCGGCUCAACCGGAAAAUUGCAGUUGAAACUGGCAGUCUUGAGUACAGUAGAGGUAGGCGGAAUUCGUGGUGUAGCGGUGAAAUGCUUAGAUAUCACGAAGAACUCCGAUUGCGAAGGCAGUUCACUGGACUGCAACUGACACUGAGGCUCGAAAGUGUGGGUAUCAAACAGGAUUAGAUACCCUAGUAGUC